UCAUGGCUCAGGACGAACGCUGGCGGCGUGCCUAACACAUGCAAGUCGAACGAGGUCCAUGCAGUGGCAACACUGCGGAAGACCUAGUGGCGAACGGGUGAGUAACACGUGAGGAACUUGCCCCGGAGACCGGGAUAACUCUCCGAAAGGAGAGCUAAUACCGGAUGUCCUCACCGAAUCGCAUGGUUUGGUGAGGAAAUGGAUUCCGCUCCGGGAGAGCCUCGCGGCCUAUCAGCUAGUUGGUGGGGUAACGGCCCACCAAGGCAUCGACGGGUAGCUGGUCUGAGAGGACGAUCAGCCACACUGGGACUGAGACACGGCCCAGACUCCUACGGGAGGCAGCAGUGGGGAAUCUUGCGCAAUGGGCGAAAGCCUGACGCAGCAACGCCGCGUGCGGGAUGAAGGCCCUCGGGUUGUAAACCGCUUUCAGUGGGGACGAACCAAGACGGUACCCACAGAAGAAGCCCCGGCCAACUACGUGCCAGCAGCCGCGGUAACACGUAGGGGGCAAGCGUUGUCCGGAUUUAUUGGGCGUAAAGAGCUCGUAGGUGGUUCAGUAAGUCGGGUGUGAAACCUCCAGGCUCAACCUGGAGACGCCACCCGAUACUGCUGUGACUAGAGUCCAGUAGGGGAGCAUGGAAUUCCUGGUGUAGCGGUGAAAUGCGCAGAUAUCAGGAGGAACACCAGUGGCGAAGGCGGUGCUCUGGGCUGGAACUGACACUGAGGAGCGAAAGCGUGGGGAGCGAACAGGAUUAGAUACCCUGGUAGUCCACGCCGUAAACGUUGGGUACUAGGUGUGGGGUCUUAUCAACGGAUUCCGUGCCGAAGCUAACGCAUUAAGUACCCC
RNAcentral lists this ribosomal RNA (847 nucleotides) under Iamia sp. Its description in RNAcentral is "bacterial SSU rRNA". It matches the Rfam family "Bacterial small subunit ribosomal RNA", at positions 17 to 870 of the family's 1533-position model. The record is from RNAcentral. Lineage: Bacteria; Bacillati; Actinomycetota; Acidimicrobiia; Acidimicrobiales; Iamiaceae.